This 4689-nucleotide long non-coding RNA is filed under the name Sus scrofa (pig). RNAcentral's name for it is "lncRNA (ENSSSCG00035071120.1)". The record is from RNAcentral. Lineage: Eukaryota; Metazoa; Chordata; Mammalia; Artiodactyla; Suidae.
AAGGAAACAGACGCUGAAACUGAGACAACACAAGCUUUAUUCGAGGGCCAGAAAAUGGAGACGAGAACAUAGUUCACAGGUUAUCUUCUCCUUUGGGAGUGGUGAUAAAGGCAAGAUUUUUAAAGGCCUUUCCCUGACAUCUCUUAAAACAAUUUUCAGAGAAGGAAACUGAAACUUGGAAGGAUGUGUUAACUUCUCCCCAUUGUGGUGGUCUGUACCUGGCUUACCAGGAUACCAAUUUAGUGUCAAUUUGGAGAGUCACAUAUUCAGACAAUAAGGAAACAUGCAAUCUGUGAACGGGCUUCAUAAUUCCAGUGACAAGCAUUUUCAAUAAUGACUAAAAUAUUUGUGAUCUGGUGCCCAAAGGCCAGCUUUUUUCCCUUUCCUUGUUAACUGCAGAGACAGCUCCGACCAUAUCUGGAGUAUGCAACCCCUGAUGAAAAAGACUGAUAAUCAUCCAAAUUUCUUGAACUUUAAGGUGAAUGAAAUAAAUAGCUGGGCAUUUGAGAAUUAUUCUUAUGGAGAAGGGAUCUUACCACUCUUUCCAUGGUUCAGAAGCAGCUAGCCUUGUGGAACUAUGGAACAGCCUACUGAAGACAUGCAUAUGGAGCCACCUGGGAACACCAGGAAUCAUGGACAUGAUCUCCUGUAGGAUGUGCUGUAUGUUCUGAACUAAUGAAAAAUAAAUGGUUCUUUUAUCCCACAAGUGAAAUAAAAGAGCCCAGACGUGAAUAAAUAAAUAUAGUUUUCACCCUCUAUAAUCAUUAUCCUUUUAAAAACGCUGGAAAUAUUGUCUUUCCUAUCCCUAAAAUUCUAAUCUGUGCUUAUUGAAAAAGCACAGUACUUAAGAAAGAAAUGUUUUCAUCAAUACUAUCAUUGAUUUGAAAGUAAUCUGACCAUUUAAGCUUUCUCAAACCACUUGUUGAAGCAAAAAAAGUGAUUAUGUGUUGUCUCAUGUGAUUGAUUUUGGUAAUCAGGAGGAAUAUACUUUCUAAUAUACUUUCUAGUCUUACAAGGAAAAGUAAAUUUGAGAAAAAGUAAUUAUUUCCAUGAUCAGAGGGAAAAAAUGAAAAAAAAUAAAGCACAUUCUAGAGUUAGGGCCUCUGAGAUCACAGAUUCUUGAAGACUGAAGGUCUGGCUUAUCCUGAGAGUUAAAACAAACAAGAAGUUCCCUUUGUGGUUCAACAUGUUAAGAACACAACAUAGUGUUCAUGAGGAUGUAAGUUCGAUCCCUGGCCUUGCUCAGUGGGUUAAGGAUAUGGCAUUGUCACAAGCUACAAUAUGGGCUUCAGAUGCAGCUGGCAUCCAGUGUUGCUGUGGCUGUGGUGUAGGCCAGCAGCUGUGGCUCCAGUUCAACCUCUGCUUCCAUAUAAAGCAGGUGUGGCCCUAAAAAGAAAAAGAACAAAACAAACAAACCAAAAACAGUUAACAGAGAUUCCUGCAGAGUUGUUAAAAGAAACUGAUAUAGGUAUUUAACAUAUAAAAUGCUCUGUAACCAGCUUUAUGAGUGAGAAACAAUGAUUCCCAGUCUUACUUUCUUCCUUGAUGUGAUAAUGACUUUUCCUCCCUUUUCAUCCAUUCUCAUAAUUUUAUUAAUGUAUAUUGUGUUGAUAUUUAAUUUUUAAAUUCAGAAAAGAACAUAAAUGCACUAUCUACAUGACUUUGAGCUGGACUACACUGGGGACACUCACACUGGGUAAAUAGUGGGUGGAUUGUUGUGGGUAUCUGUCAUUGGUUAUUGCCUAAAAUCCAACCUUCCCAAAAUAGAAUCCCAGAAUUCCUGGUAGCUAAAAUGUAGGCAGGUAAUUAAAGUUCUUCUGGUCAAAUGCACUUUCAAGAGCCUUUGGAUUGGCUAUGAAUAGCAUGAAUAAAGAGGCUUUGAAGGAUAUCAAAUUUUUACUUAUAUAUGAGAAAGAAGAAGCACCUUGAUAUCAGUUUUACCAUGAUUCUUGUUAAAUGUUUGCUGGUAUUGACUUGUGAAUUACCUGCUGUCUUCUAUUUUUUUUUUUUUAAUUAAGUAGCCAGAUGGAAUCUGCUAUUUGCAUGAACCCUGAGCAAUACUGUAUUAAUGGUUAGUUUCUUCUCAAAAUAUUUCUUUCUCCCACCUUGCUUGAAUGCAGACAUAGUGAUAAUUGAGAAAAGUUUUCUACAACAAAGGUUUGUAAAUAAUACUUUUUCUUAGUUUUUGAAAAUGUGACAACAUAUAAAUAAAGCAUAUAGCAAUACAUCUAUCAUAUAUGUUUAUAUAAGUGACAUCAUAUAUAUACAUAUGUUUAUAUAUUUAAUUUUUGUUAAUUAAUUUAAAAGGAAGGAGUAGUAUUUAGUCACUCCAUCUAGUAAUGAAUCAUACUGAAAGCACAUUUUUCAGGAGUAUAUAAGUUAAUUUUAUGCACCAUCUAAAUCUUAUUUUCACUCAUUGUUCUUUGUUUCUCAUAUGUGAUUUUACAUUACUUUUAUAGUGUAACUCACUUUAUACCUUUGUUAAUUUCUUUUUUCUUUUUUAGGGAAGAUGGUGGUUAAAAUGAACAAAGAAAACAAUUUUAAAAGUUGUCAUUUUUGGAGUUACCGUCGUGUCUCAGUGGUUAACGAAUCCGACUAAGAACCAUGAGGUUCCGGGUUCGAUACCUGGCCUCGCUCAGUGGGUUAAGGAUCCAGUGUUGCCAUGAGCUGUGGUGUAGGUUGUAGACUGGGCUCAGAUCCCACGUUGCUGUGGCUCUGGCAUAGGAUGACGGCUGCAGCUCUGAUUAGACCCCUAGCCUGGGAACCUCCAUAUGCCACAGGUGCAGCCCUAUAAAGACAAAAGACAAAAGACAGAAAAUAAAAAUAAAAAAUAAAAGUUGUCAUUUUUAAUAGAAGUGUAAUGCUAAAGUUGGAUAUUACUUUUAUUUUAUGUUUCCUAAUUAUUAGAAGAAUGUCAAAACUUUUCUCGUUUUACGUAAUAUUUCUUUUAAAUUGUUUUCCUCUUUUGCUCAUAGAAAGUUCAUAUACAUUUGUAUUGUCUUAUACCAUAUAAAAAUUGACUUAUUAUUUUAACAUAAAAAACUAUUAAAAUACAGAGUUAUUUUUCUUUAUGUAGAAAUUCUUUCCUAUGUUUUCAUAAUAUAGUUUCCCCAUAAUUAAAAUAAUAAUACAGGGGUUCCCAUUGUGGUGCAGAGGAAACAAAGGUGACUAGUAUCCAUGAAGAUGUGGGUUCAAUCCCUGGCCUUGCUCAGUGAGUCAGGGAUCCAGCAUUGCUGUGAGCUGUGGUGUAGGUCGCAGACAAGGCUAGGAUCCUGUGUUACUGUGGCUGUGGCAUAGGCCAGCAGCUGGCUGUAGCUCUGAUUUGACCCUAGGCCUGGGAACUUUGAUAUGCCAUGGGCGCAGCCCUAAAAAGCAAAACUAAUAAUAAUAGUAAUAAUAAUAAUAAUAAUAAUAAAAUAAUAAUACAGAAUAUAUUCAUUGCUUAGUGUUUAAAAUUGGAGCAAUGAUUCUGCCUCCCACCGUUAAUUAUUCUGUACUGCAACAGAAUGUCCUUUCUUAAAUGUGUUAUGAUACCAAAAAAUAAAAAAUAUGAAUUCUCAUAUCUACUCUCAACUCAUAUUUAUAUGUUGAAUAAAACAGUGUUAACCCAUGGUCAGCAUGUAUUGAAUGAUGUAUGCCUUUCAGAACCUUGUUCUUAACUAUUCUUUCAUUGUCUCUAUUUCAUAUUCUUUAUAUUUUCCUCUAUAAACAUUGUCUUAAUUUCUACUUUUUUGUUUUGAAGUUUUUUAAGUUUUCAAAAUUUAAAAAAGCAUAUUGGUUUUUUGGGGUUUUUUUUUGUUUUUGUUUUUGUUUUUUUUGUCUUUUUGCCAUUUCUAGGGCUGCUCCCGCGGCAUGCGGAGUUUCCCAGGUUAGGGGUCUAAUCUGAGCUGUAGCCGCCGGCCCAUGCCAGAGCCACAGCAACGCGGGAUCCGAGCCGCGUCUGCAACCUACACCACAGCUCAUGGCAACGCCAGAUCCUCAACCCACUGAGCGAGGCCAGGGGUCCAACCUGCAACCUCAUGGUUCCAAGCCACAAUGGGAAUUCCAAUCGUCAUUAAUUAAUGAAUGAAUUAAUAUAUCUGAAUAAUUUCCUUUUCUUUUUUUCUUUUUUUAUUUUCUUUUUACAUCUUUCUUUGUGGCUUAUGGAAAUUCCUGGCUAGGGGUCAUGUCAGAGCUGGGUCAUGUCAGAGCUGCAGCUGAGGCCUCUACCACAGCCACGGCAACACCUGAUCCAUGCCACAUCUGCAAUCUAUGCUUCAGCUUAAUGCUAAACCCUUAACCCAUUGAAUUAGGCCAAGGAUCGAACCCACAUUCUCACAGAGACAUCAUGUCCUUAAUCUACUGAGCCACAACAGGAACUCCUCUGAAUAAUUUUCAACAACAUUGUUAGUAAAUAUUAUGGUAUGUUGUGAUUGUAUUGGACUAUCUCUGUUUCUUAAUAGAAAUUCCCAGAGCACAAGCAUCUGAGUGUAAGUUCAUAUAUGAGUGUAUAUCAGGAGUUAUAUAAAUCUUGUUAAUUUCUCUUAACAUGCACAAUUUGUCACAUAAAUUUGUUGAUCAAUAAUUGUUUAAUGUCUAAUUAAUUGUGAAAAUAUAUUGAAACAAAAAAUAUCAAUGUUUUAGAUAAAUGUCUCAAAUAUUUUCAAUGAAGUGUCUUUAACAGCCAAAAAUAAAACAAUAUUUCUCAUG